AACUAGAAGGCUAGAAUGAAAGGUUGGACGAGGGAUGAGCUGUCUCCUUUAUGUAAUUUGAAUUUAACUUUUGAGUGAAAAGGCUCAAAUUAUUUAGUGGGACGAUAAGACCCUAUAAAACUUUAUAUAAGUUUAAUUUGGCUUACAAUUUGAGUGAAAAGUAGCUUUAUUAGGCUUAUAUUUCGUUGGGGAGAUGUAGAUAUAAUGUGUAACUGUCUGUUUAAUUUAAUAAUUAUAAUUAGUGUGUGAUCCUUCUUUGUGGAUUAAAAGUAUAAGUUACUUUAGGGAUAACAGCGUGAUUUUCUUUGAGAGUUCUUAUCGACAAGAGUAGUUGCGACCUCGAUGUUGAAUUAAAAUUUCAGUUAGGUGUAGCCGUCUAGCUGGUAGGUCUGUUCGACCUUUAAAAUUUUACAUGAUUUGAGUUCAAACCGGUGUGAGCCAGGUUGGUUUCUAUCUAA
Molecule: ribosomal RNA, 458 nt
Filed under: Macrobrachium nipponense
Lineage: Eukaryota; Metazoa; Arthropoda; Malacostraca; Decapoda; Palaemonidae
Description: partial 16S ribosomal RNA
Rfam family: Bacterial large subunit ribosomal RNA
Source: RNAcentral